RNAcentral lists this ribosomal RNA (312 nucleotides) under Triticum aestivum (bread wheat). RNAcentral's name for it is "partial small subunit ribosomal RNA". The stretch from base 39 to 162 matches the Rfam family "MIR1120/MIR1122 microRNA precursor family". The record is from RNAcentral. Lineage: Eukaryota; Viridiplantae; Streptophyta; Magnoliopsida; Poales; Poaceae.
AUGACAGAUGAUUGUAUGUGUUCAUGCUUGUGCUUAGCUGCAUACUCCCUCCGUCCGGAAAUACUUGUCCUCGAAAUGGAUAAAAUGGAUGUAUCUAUAACUAAAAUAAGUCUAGAUACAACCAUUUUGAGGACAAGUAUUUCCGGACGGAGGGAGUACUUAAUUGUAGGUAUUUCAUAUUUCAAUCAUUCCUUUCGUGAGGUGGUGCUGGAGCUGAAGCUCAAAUUUAUUGGUUGUGUUUCUGAAACAUGGUGGUUAUGUUUUCUGUUUUCAUCAUGGGUUGGUGGUUAUGUAUCUGAUAUGGAAACCUGA